RNAcentral lists this non-coding RNA (46 nucleotides) under Schistosoma margrebowiei. Lineage: Eukaryota; Metazoa; Platyhelminthes; Trematoda; Strigeidida; Schistosomatidae. The record is from RNAcentral.
GCACUGGUGAGGAGUCCCACAAUAGGACGAAAUGGCCGUCCAGUGC